Etheostoma cragini (Arkansas darter) is the source of this 213-nucleotide long non-coding RNA. RefSeq lists it as uncharacterized. NCBI's taxonomy places the organism in Eukaryota, Metazoa, Chordata, Actinopteri, Perciformes, Percidae. The transcript has 3 exons. The record is from RefSeq and is a predicted model, not a curated record.
GUUACUUUCCACCACUGAUAUUAUAAUAGUAAUGUAAUGAUAUUACGUGUAGCAAGACUAAACAUAAAUUCCCAACAUGUUAUCUGUCAGUUGCUCGGGUGCAUUGCUGUCGGCACUGACAGGACACAGAUGUUCUAGCCUACCGUCUCUGGUUCUGGCUGUGACCACGGAAACAGUGACAGGACAGCUCGCUUCAACGCAUCUUAAUUGUAA